Molecule: transfer RNA, 69 nt
Filed under: Ictidomys tridecemlineatus (thirteen-lined ground squirrel)
Lineage: Eukaryota; Metazoa; Chordata; Mammalia; Rodentia; Sciuridae
Also listed under: 1 other name
Description: Spermophilus tridecemlineatus (thirteen-lined ground squirrel) tRNA
Rfam family: tRNA
About the family: Transfer RNA (tRNA) molecules are approximately 80 nucleotides in length. Their secondary structure includes four short double-helical elements and three loops (D, anti-codon, and T loops). Further hydrogen bonds mediate the characteristic L-shaped molecular structure. tRNAs have two regions of fundamental functional importance: the anti-codon, which is responsible for specific mRNA codon recognition, and the 3' end, to which the tRNAs corresponding amino acid is attached (by aminoacyl-tRNA synthetases). tRNAs cope with the degeneracy of the genetic code in two manners: having more than one tRNA (with a specific anti-codon) for a particular amino acid; and 'wobble' base-pairing, i.e. permitting non-standard base-pairing at the 3rd anti-codon position.
Source: Rfam by way of RNAcentral
GGGGUUGUAGCUCAGUGGUAGAGUGCUUGCCUCCCAUGCAUGAGGCACUGAAUUCAAUCCUCAGCACCA